Molecule: unclassified non-coding RNA, 485 nt
Filed under: Hevea brasiliensis (rubber tree)
Lineage: Eukaryota; Viridiplantae; Streptophyta; Magnoliopsida; Malpighiales; Euphorbiaceae
Source: RNAcentral
GCUGAUUAUUUGACAACUAAAACUUCCAAAAAAUAUAGAGUAGAAAUUGCAACAUGUAACUACAUUUUGCUAACAAAAUAAAGUAUAUACAUGAUUAUAUGAUCAAGCGCGGCAAUCAUUCCUGACGUGGUAGUAGUAUGAUAGUUAACCAACUUGUUGCAUCCUCUCGUGGCGAUACCAGUAACAUGUCUCUGAAAUGCCAUCAUUGGAACUUGAUAAAACCCCCAAAUAUCUACAAGUAAUGAACCUCACCACUGAUACUUAGCAGCAAUGAGAACUUCUUCAUAGUUCUGAGCAGCAUUAUCCCAACUUAAGUCUUGUGUCAUACAACGCGCCUGAAUCCCCUCCCAACUCUUUUUGUACUCACGAUAAGUCAGCAAGCAAUUUCCUAAUGCGUGGAUCAGCUGGUUAGCUUCAGCCCUACUGAAGGUCCACCCCAGUCCUGACUCAUUAAAAGGAUCAAAGGGCUGCACAGUAUCUCUGAG